UACGUAGGGCGCAAGCGUUGUCCGGAAUUAUUGGGCGUAAAGGGCUCGUAGGCGGUCUGUCACGUCGGGAGUGAAAACUCAGGGCUUAACCCUGAGCCUGCUUCCGAUACGGGCAGACUAGAGGUAUGCAGGGGAGAACGGAAUUCCUGGUGUAGCGGUGAAAUGCGUAGAUAUCUGGAGGAACACCGGUGGCGAAGGCGGCGUUCUGGACUGCAACUGACACUGAGAGACGAAAGCCAGGGGAGCAAACGGG
This 253-nucleotide ribosomal RNA is filed under the name uncultured bacterium. RNAcentral's name for it is "partial 16S ribosomal RNA". It matches the Rfam family "Bacterial small subunit ribosomal RNA", at positions 524 to 776 of the family's 1533-position model. The record is from RNAcentral.